Molecule: RNA transcript, 3378 nt
Organism: Physeter macrocephalus (sperm whale)
Lineage: Eukaryota; Metazoa; Chordata; Mammalia; Artiodactyla; Physeteridae
Gene name: scaffold protein involved in DNA repair
Exons: 15
Source: RefSeq, a predicted model, not a curated record
AGGGGGCGGCACGCUCUGGAGGAGGCGGCGCGCACGGAGAUGCCCCGCGGAGGCCAGUCUCGUGGCUUGAAGAGGAAAAGAAAUUGGGAUGUAGAAUACCCAUCCUUUCCAGGAGAGAGUCCACUGCAGUGCAGACGAGCAGGUCUCAGGACCGUGGGGGCAGAAGCUUCCCUCGCUGAAGCAUGGCUCAGGUGUGGAGAAGGAUUUCAGGAGACUCCUGAGACUCAGUCAUUAACAGCUGAAAAGAAGACUACUACAGAAAAACACCUUGAAUUAUCCUCUGGACCCAAGACAGAACCUACCACAUCUAAGAGUGCCAGUGGGCUUACAGCUAUAACAUGGAGUUCCAGUGGAAGUGAUCUGUCAGAUGAAGAUAAAACCGUUUUUAAAUCGCAGAGAGAAAAUGGACAUGGUUCUAGAAUAGGCAGGUUUUAUAGCAGGAAUAUUUUCUCUCCAGAAGAUGGGGCCAGUGAAGAUGAUCUCCAGGUUAUUGACUGGGAGAUUGACAGUGACAGGGAAGAUACACGUGAUGAAUUUGAAGACCGUGACAGUGUGGUGGAAAUAUCUGACCAUGCUUCUUGUACAAGCAGUCGUUCUUUGACACCUCCAGAGACGCUACCUGAACUUCCUAAGACAAAUCCUACAGAAAUUUUAGAGUAUUCAUCAGAUAGUGAAAAAGAUGAGUCGGAGAAUGUCUUGUUCAUUGAUUCAGUAUCCUCUCACAAAUACCACAUGGAUUUUGGAUCAGAUGGAAGCCAGGUUAUGGAGAGACUGAUAAACCCGAGGGUAAAAUCUACAGAGACCAUUUUGCAUACACCCCAGAAAGAGACAAAGCUUCCCAAGACUCCAGAAGAUUCAGCAAAGAAGAAGAAGCUUUUAAGAGGCGGGCUAGCAGAAAGACUAAAUGGACUGCAGAAUCGAGAGAGAGCUGCCAUUUCUUUGUGGAGACAUCAGUAUCUUUCUUACCAAAGGACACUUUCAGGUAUAAAAUCUGGUAUAUUAACUGUGAAAAUUCUAGAGCUUCAUGAGGAAUGCACCAUCCAAGUUGCAAUGUGUGAGCAGUUAUCGGGGCUGCAGGCUGACAGCUCUUCUCAGGGUGGGGCCCCUGGGACUGGCCUGAAGGUUCUCUUCGCCAAGGAGACUGCACGCUGCCUCAGGGGACUUCCACAGGACAUCAUCCAUAUCUACCCUCCCUGGCAAAAGCUUAUUAUCCCAGAUGGAAGUUGCCCUGUUAUUCUGAAUACUUACUUUUGUCAGAAAGUUGUUGCCAAAGAAGAUUCAGAAACAACACAUGAAGUGCACAGUCGGGACACACCCCUUCCAAGAAGAAGCAUCAUUUUGGCCCAGAUGUUUAGAUUUAAGAGCCUAACAAAUAACUCACCUGAAAACCAGGUUAUGUGUGGUGGUCACACCACCGUGGGCACAGACUGGACCCUCAGGCACGAACGGGCAGAGCUGGGCUUCCCGGCCCGAGCUCCCCUGAGGGAUUCUCUGCUGGAUGCAGUCGAAAGCCAAGGAGUUGCCACCUGGUCGGGAGCCGGGGUCCGAGUGGUGGUGCAGAGAGUUUACUCUCUUCGCUGCAGGUGUCAGCAGGCAGAUGGCACAGACCCACCUGGAGUUCGGAGAACACAUGUGGAAGAAGUAGUACUUCACAGUCAUCCUGUCCUUACAGUGCCUUCUGAUAUUUUUCAGAAAGAGCAGGCAGGGAACACUGCUCUCUUAACCAUUUCAGUACAACCAGUGUUCAUAGCGGCACUACUUACAAUAGUCAAGAGUUGGAAGCAACCUAAAUGUCUGUCAACAGACGAAUGGAUAAAGAAGAGCAGCUAAAGACACCGCAGACCGCUGAUGGUGGAAAUGCAGACUGAGGGACUAACAGGAUGGAAUGGCAUAUGGUGCUCUUCCUCCAGAACAGCAGUUCAGACAUGUCAGCAGUGGAAGAGCCCAAAGGGAGGACGGCAGUUCCUGCUCAUCAGAGGCACACAGGCUGCCCCACCUGCUCUUCUUUUGUGUCUGCCGCACCCACCAGACUGUGCAGUGAUUGUAUUGAUUGACCCGCUCAGCAUCACAUUUCACAAGGAAAUCAACUGGGUUUUUGAUAGAGAUUGUGUUCGAUGUGUACCUCAAUUUGAAGAGAAUUGCUGUCUUACCAGUACUUAGUCUUUGGAUCCAUAAACAUGGGAUGUCUUCUCAUUUAAUUAGAUCUUUAAUUUCUUUCAUCAGUGCUUUGUAGCUUUCAGCCUGAAAGUCUUGCAUUUCUUUUGUUAAAUUUAUGCCUAUUUUCUUUUUUUAUACUAUUGUAAAUGCAGUUGCUUCCUUAAUUUCACUUCUGAUUGUUUAUUGCUAACGUGUAGAUAUGCAAGUGAUUUUUAUAUAUUGGCCUGUGUUCUAAAGUCUUGUUGAAUUUGCUGUAUUCGCUCUCAUAGUUUUUUAGUGGAUUCCUUAGGAUUUUUCGCACAUAAAAUCAUGCAGUCUUCGAAUAAAGAUAGUUUUACUUCUUCAUUUCCAAACUGGUUGUAUCUUAUUUCUUUCUCUUUCUUAAUUGUCCUGGAAGCGCUUUUAAUUGUCUUGAGGCAGAAAAAUAGAAAUGGCUAUUUGAAGCUGUGGUGUUUUCACAGUAGCUCAUCCUCUUACUCAUUUCCCUCAGUCUCUUGAGGUCCUGUGCAGACUUCACUACCAUCUUACACCACUUGCCUUGUGAAGUCUCUCUUGAUUUCCCCCGUAGAAAUAGUCUCUUCUUCAACGUGGUAGGAUGAAAAAAACCAAAUUUUUGGAAGCAGACGAACUUGGGUUUGAAUCUGAACUCUUCUACCUGCUAGCUAUAUGUUCUUGGCUAAAGAUAGGUAGGCAGGUAGAUAGGUAAUCUUAACUCUCUUCAUUUUUGUAACAGCCCCAUGCAGUUAGCACCGUCACUGUCAGCCUUGUAUGGUUGUUUUGAAGAUUCAAUGAGAAAACAUUUAUAAAAUGCUUGAUGCCGAGGAGACACUCUUAACACGAUUUGCUUUUUGACUUAAAUUAUGGUCAUUUGUAUUGUGGUUAGUUACAGAGGUGUCAGUCUUUAAGGUUGUCGGCUCCUUGCAGGUAAGGAUUACGUGUAGGAGUAUUUAUUACUGCAUCUUGUGCAAAUAUUGUGCCUAUUAUAUAUCCCUAAAUAUAUUUCAGUUUGAUGUAUUUCUUUUUGGUAUUUAUGGUGGUUUGUCUUUGUGUAUCAUUUCUCCCCUUCUAGAUGAAACAAAAUGGAUCCAUUUUCCUACCCUUUAUCUCUUCUUUAAGCUUUUAUCAUUUUAUUGGUCUGGUAUCAGGUUACAGCUAGCUGAUUGAAAUUUGAAAGGUUUCAGAGUAGAAUCAGAGCUGUGGAUAAUCUGAAAGCAGUAUGUU